RNAcentral lists this ribosomal RNA (426 nucleotides) under Litoporus sp. Br16-153. Its description in RNAcentral is "partial 16S ribosomal RNA". The record is from RNAcentral. Lineage: Eukaryota; Metazoa; Arthropoda; Arachnida; Araneae; Pholcidae.
UUCUUUAAGAAAAAUAAUUUAAAGUAAAACCUGCUCAAUGAAAUUUAAAUAGCCGCAGAACUCUGUGCUAAGGUAGCAUAAUCACUAGCUUUCUAAUUAAAAGAUAGAAUGAAUGGUUAGACGAGAUAUUCACUGUUUCUAUACUUAUGUAUGAAAUUAAAUUAAAAGUUAAAAUUCUUUUAAUUAUAAGAAAGACGAUAAGACCCUAUAAACUAAAUUAUAUUUAGCUGGGGUGGCAAAUUAAAAAAACCUUAAUAAAAUUUUCUAACAAUCCAAAUACAAUCUUUUUAGAAAAGUUACUUUAGGGAUAACAGCGCUACUUUUUUCUAAAGCUCUAAUAAAAAAAAAUCCUACGACCUCGAUGUUGAAUUAUAAAUCCUUUUGGUGCAAAAUCAAAAAGAAAGUCUGUUCGACUUAUUAUUAUAU